GACAGAGGGUGCAAACGUUGUUCGGAAUUACUGGGCGUAAAGCGCGUGUAGGCGGCUUUGCAAGUCGGGUGUGAAAGCCCUCAGCUCAACUGAGGAAGUGCGCCCGAAACUGCAGAGCUUGAGUACCGGAGAGGAUGGCGGAAUUCCCCAAGUAGAGGUGAAAUUCGUAGAUAUGGGGAGGAACACCGGUGGCGAAGGCGGCCAUCUGGACGGAUACUGACGCUGAGACGCGAAAGCGUGGGGAGCAAACAGG
This 253-nucleotide ribosomal RNA is filed under the name uncultured bacterium. Its description in RNAcentral is "partial 16S ribosomal RNA". It matches the Rfam family "Bacterial small subunit ribosomal RNA", at positions 524 to 776 of the family's 1533-position model. The record is from RNAcentral.